UAACCGGAACUGUUUGUUGGUGACUCUAAAUAACUUUGUGUUGAUCGUAUGACCUUCGUGUCGACGACAUAUCUUUCAAGUGUCUGACUUAUCAACUUUAGACGGUACAUUAUAUGUCUACCGUGGUUGCAACGAGUACAGAGAAUCAGGGUUUGGUUCUGGAGAGGCCGCCUGAGAAACGGCGACCACUUCCAAGGAAGGCAGCAGGCGCGCAAAUUACCCACUCUCAAAACGAGGAGGUAGUGAAGAGAAAUAACGAUGUUAGUCUUUUAUAGGCUGAUAAUCGGAAUGGAAACACUGUAAACAGGUUAUUGAUUAACAAUUGGAGGGCAAGUCUGGUGCCAGCAGCCGCGGUAAUUCCAGCUCCAAUAAGGAAAACUAAAGUUGCUGUGUUUAAAAAGCUCGUAGUUGAAUUUCGGGUAUUUGUUGCUAGCUGGUCUAACUGGCCAUGUUGGUUAACAGAUCCUCAUUUGCUGGACGGCUGGCGAUGAUCUUUAUCGGUUGUCGUCAGUUGCCAGAACGUUUACUUUGAGAAAAUUAGAGUGCUAAAAGCAGGCUCACGCCUAUAUAUAUUGCAUGGAAUAAUGAAAUAAGAUCUCGAUUUUAUUUCGUUGGUUUUAGAAAUUGAGAUAAUGAUUAAUAGGAUCAGAGGGGGGCGUACGUACUGUGGUGUGAGAGGUGAAAUUCUUGGAUCGCCACAGGACGAACAGCAGCGAAGGCGUUCGCCAAGAAUGUUUUCAUUAAUCAAGAACGAAAGUUUGAGGUUCGAAGACGAUUAGAUACC
This 784-nucleotide ribosomal RNA is filed under the name uncultured eukaryote. RNAcentral describes it as "SSU rRNA". It matches the Rfam family "Eukaryotic small subunit ribosomal RNA", at positions 223 to 1016 of the family's 1831-position model. The record is from RNAcentral.